AAGUCGUAACAAGGUUUCCGUAGGCGAGUGCUCCCUAAUCUUGCUUGAUAAAACGCAACUAACAUUUUUCUAGGUGAACCUGCGGAAGGAUCAUUAAAAAAUUUGUGGCAUUGGCCGCAUCUUCACCCCUUGUGUAUUUUCCUGUUGCUUCGGCAAGCCGAUCACUUUUAGUGACCGUCGGCUUAUGUGGACGUGUGCUUGCCGAAGAAACCUUUACUCUUAUUCAAGUCGUCUAAGUUUUACAUUAAAAGAUAAAAACUUUCAACAACGGAUCUCUUGGUUCUG
RNAcentral lists this unclassified non-coding RNA (285 nucleotides) under Dothideomycetes sp. RNAcentral describes it as "partial contains small subunit ribosomal RNA, internal transcribed spacer 1, and 5.8S ribosomal RNA". Lineage: Eukaryota; Fungi; Ascomycota; Dothideomycetes. The record is from RNAcentral.